RNAcentral lists this non-coding RNA (29 nucleotides) under Homo sapiens (human). Lineage: Eukaryota; Metazoa; Chordata; Mammalia; Primates; Hominidae. The record is from RNAcentral.
UGCCUCACUAUCAAGGGCAAUGGGUGAAA